AGCUUUCGAAUCCGUGCUGAGAUUUCAUCAGACACCAACGCAUUAAGGCUGAUCAAACUUCCAAGGUAAGUGAAGUU
RNAcentral lists this microRNA precursor (77 nucleotides) under Schistosoma margrebowiei. RNAcentral's name for it is "mir-3492 microRNA precursor family". It matches the Rfam family "mir-3492 microRNA precursor family". The record is from Rfam by way of RNAcentral. Lineage: Eukaryota; Metazoa; Platyhelminthes; Trematoda; Strigeidida; Schistosomatidae.